Molecule: unclassified non-coding RNA, 836 nt
Filed under: Hevea brasiliensis (rubber tree)
Lineage: Eukaryota; Viridiplantae; Streptophyta; Magnoliopsida; Malpighiales; Euphorbiaceae
Source: RNAcentral
GAAACAUCCACAUGGUUCAGUUCUGAAUGCAUUUGAGUAUCCUUAGGAAGCUCCAUCUCACGGGCGUUCUCAUCUUUGAUGACUGCAUUAUCAAAAACCUUCAGAACUCUAUUUGCCAAUGAAGAGCGGGUUUUCUUGGGAACAUGCUCAAACCUCCAGACACUAAGUAAAUUAUUACUACUCUUGGUCAUCUGUGUAUGUUCUUCAGUACUCUUGCUCGUAUGCAUAUGUUCUUCAGUACACGGUUCAACUUCUAUGUCCUCCUUGGCAGAUUUUGUCUCCAAAUCACAAUAAUCGUUGGAAACAGCAACCUGAUCAACUUCUAUUUUUGAGGUUUCCAUUUCAAUACACUUCUCAGUAUGUUGUCGUUCAUCCUCUAAUGGAAGAUUAAUUUCAAUUCUAAUAGGACUUGCCUUUUUACCUGCAUCAUCCCCUGCCUUGUUUUGGCCUGCAGAGUCUGAAUCAAUCAAUGAGUCCCCUGAACUCUCAAUCACAGGAUCUAUUUUCCUGGGAGGGGAACUUUGCAACACCGCAUCACUAUUCUUAGCUACUUUCUGUUCAGCUCUAUUCCCUGAAAAAGCAUUAUCUUGAGCAUCCACAUCAGGAGAGUUUCUGACUCUAUUCCACGACCCAACUCUUCCUAAUUCUCGAUCGAACUCAGAGCCAUAAUUUCUAGCAUUUUCAUUUCUUCUACUUUCUCUCACAAAACUUCUUGAACUCAUUGAAUUAUAUUCCUCCGGAAACCUUUUCCUACCAUGACCUACAUCAGCUGCAGCACUCCCCAAACGAGGAAUAGCUGAUAUUCGACCUUCAACAGGGACCCCCAUAAAAUCAGC